GCUCCGUGGUGAAAUGCUAUCAUAAUUGCCUACCAAGCAAUUGGCUCGGGUUCGAUUCCCGACGGAUGCA
RNAcentral lists this transfer RNA (70 nucleotides) under Pyronema domesticum. RNAcentral describes it as "tRNA-Gly". It matches the Rfam family "tRNA". Rfam says of the family: Transfer RNA (tRNA) molecules are approximately 80 nucleotides in length. RNAcentral also lists the same sequence under 1 other name. The record is from RNAcentral. Lineage: Eukaryota; Fungi; Ascomycota; Pezizomycetes; Pezizales; Pyronemataceae.